UGCUUUGAUGUACACACAAUAUGUACUAAUCCAUAUAUAUACAUAUAUCUAUAUCAUAUAUACAUACUUAUAUGUGCAUAUUUGUUAGUAAAAAUUAAAGUAUAUGGCCUAUAUUUAUGCAAAGAUGCUAGGUUUCUCUUUUAGCAUUUUAUUGAGGUUUCAUAGGAAUAUACCAACAUUUGAUUCAGAGUAAGUGAUUCAUUGUAAGGGUUGUGUUCAGAACCCAUUAAGCUUAAAACUCUGUAUCAUUUAGAAACCAUUUGGCUUAUUCAUCUUUAUUUUCCCUUAGACUUUUCUUCCUAACAAGAAAGAGCCUACACUUGGUUUCUUGAGCAUCUUUGGCUUUUGGCUACUUCUUUCUCUUCUCUUCAAAUCCUUUGCAAUUUAAGAUAUAGGAAGAGAGCUAUUGUAAGAAAGUGGCUCAAAUAUCUGUUAGCAAAGGAUUUAAUUAAUUGCAUUGGGAACAGUAAGUGGCAGAGGCCAAGCACUUUUUGGUGGAUGAAAGAAUUUCCAAUGACCUCCUCUACUUGAGAUAGCAGGGGCAGAAGAAAGAGAAUCCUUACAGAUUUAAGUUAAGCCUUAGCUCUCCUGUGUUUGGCCUCCUCUAAAGGGCUGAACAGAUGAUCAGCUGGCAUAAAAUGUUAAGAUUUUGUUUGCUUGUUUCUUUUUAAUGUGUGUAAUCAACACACUAACAUAGGCCAGGUAGAAUUCCUUGGGGGCACAUGCUUAUGAGCCAUUAUUAUGAGUGUGUGUGUUUAUGUGUGUACACACCAGCGUGCAUGCGCAUUUACCAGCACAUGACUCCUGGCUCCCCAUAUUCCAACUUUAUCACCUGCUUUGGCCUUCUUUAGUCUUAGUAUCUUCAGUCUUCCCCCUUGGCCACCUGGAUUUCAUGGACUACAAGUUUUCAACAUGACCAUCUACUUCUGUGUCUGCCUUCUCAGCUAUGAAGAUAAGACUCACUUUGGUCCUUAUUCUCCUACCAGUUAACCCUACCAGACCAGACCCCACAGUCCAGCUCCAUGUUCUUCAAGUAUGAAGAUUCAGUCAUUUUAUAAGAAUGCUGGGAACCAGAGCUGAUAAGGGCACCCCUGGAUAGUACUGGUCUUUAUUAAUUCCGAGAGAAGGGACAGACUCUGGAUCUUUAACCAAAGACUUGUCUUCCACUACCAUGGGUCCCGGUGGGCAGCAUUAUACAGUUUAAAACAUUAUCAGCCUGGAUGAUCCUCUGUAGCUUUCCUCCUCUCUCCAGAGAAUAAUGUCUGACAUCUCAGGUCAUGGACAUGUCUAUCUGAGAAAAAAUGUGAAAGAGGAGUGGUGAAAGCCAGACCCUCAGUGACCCAGGGCUGAGUAACAGUGCCAGAGAGAGGUCAGAUGCCAUGACUUAGGGCACACAUAGGGGGAACCUAGAUUCACUAUUUCACAAUAGGUUUAAAAUACCUAUUCUGUGUAUUUGAUGCAGAGUCUUGGGAAACUCACUCUUUGUCUCUAGGGCUAUUCUCUUACUAAUAAAAAAAUUAUGAAAAAAGAAUAGCAGCCUCAAAUGAUUAGGCCAGAAUCAUAUAAGUAAGGCAUGUGGAAAGCUUUCUGCAUUGUCAAAGGACUAACACAUAGGUGGUCUUCCUAUUUCUGGGGCUAGUGACACUUUAAUGUGAGGUUAGGGGCAGCAGGACCUCAGUCUUCCCAGACGUAAAUGGAGGAAGCUGGCAAUGGAGACAGGUUCCAGGAAUCAAACUGAGAGCUACCCUUUCAAGCCUGGAUGACAAGAUAAAGCCACACAACAGAGAGUUUGGGCUUCUGGAUUCUUUAUUUUUAAACAACAACUUCCCUGGCUCUUGCCUACUCUGUUGACAAUGGGUCUAGAAUAAAGAGAAAGAAAAACAAUAUACAUAUGAACAAUAAUUAUAUGAGCAGAAAGCCUUUGUGGGAGGGAGGUUAUAAGAUCCUCUGCAACAUCUUAAUCAACGAAGAGCAGCUCUGCCAAAAGUUCCAAGAAUCAUCUUUUAUAUCUAAGGUCAGCAAACUAUUGCUUGUGGGCCAACUGUGGUCUCCCAUCUGCUUUUGAGAAUAAAGUUAUAUUGGAAUACAGCCAUGCUUAUUUAGUCUAUGGCUGUUUUUACAGUAUAGGCAGAGUUAAGCAGCUGUAGGACCUGCAAAGCUUGAAAUAGUUGCUCUGUAGCCUUUUUGAGGAAAAGUUUGAAGACUCCUGUUCUAUACCUUCAAACAAGUAUCCAAGUUAAAGUCAACAUCUGGACUGCUAGAUUACUUGAAAUGAGACGGUGACAUUCUUAAAUAAUAAUAAUAAUAAUAAUGGGGCUGGGGUAUCCUCCAGGAACAAUAUGCUUGUUUUGCCUCCUUUCUCAAAGAGAAGAACCAUGAAUCAUCAAAGAAAGUGACAGUUUCUUAGUCAUGAACUUUAAGAAAAAUCCAAAUCAAUCACUUGAAACCCAAGGGGUCCCAGAGAAAAAUAAUGCAAGCAGUAUUUAGGAAAUGGUAUCAGAUGCCCAUCCAUCCCAGUUAUCCUCUUUCCAUCGGUAAUACACAAGAUCCAGAAAAAUGGGUCCUUUGAUGGUAAGAAUUAUAUUAUGCUAAAGCAGAGACUGAGUCAGGCCAGUUGUGAGGACUGGAUUGAAAGCACUUGCCAGAGAGAAGGUAGUAUACACCCAUACCUGAGAAUAAAUAUUCUGCUACUGUCCUUAUUUUUCCUGUGAAAUCAAAGCACAAAAGCCUAAUGUUUUCCAAACUCUCCGUUUCCCUGAGCUGGGUGCCCACUGCAGUCAUGAGGGGAUGUGCAGGCAAUUCCCACCCCAGCAAGGAGCUCAGAGCAAUCUGAGGCUCUUUCUCCCCAGGAAGGGUGGGGGCUCAGUGCCAAGCAGGGAGAAAGGAACACGACUAACAUGUCAUUCAAGGCUGGGUGGGUCCUUACAGAAAGAAAGGCAGUGCUCAGUACGCUGAAAAGUGCAUAAUUGUCAAAUGUCCAGACCUGUCAAUCUAUGCAAAGAAUCAUUUUAACUUUCCUGUUUAUUUCAGCAACUAACACAUGCAUAACAUAUAACUACUGGCCAUUACUUCCACUCCCUACAACUGAUCAGAUGUAUAUAAUCAGUGACC
This 3111-nucleotide long non-coding RNA is filed under the name Sus scrofa (pig). Its description in RNAcentral is "lncRNA (ENSSSCG00050031888.1)". Lineage: Eukaryota; Metazoa; Chordata; Mammalia; Artiodactyla; Suidae. The record is from RNAcentral.